Molecule: non-coding RNA, 115 nt
Organism: Triticum urartu
Lineage: Eukaryota; Viridiplantae; Streptophyta; Magnoliopsida; Poales; Poaceae
Source: Rfam
CAUCUACUCCCUUCGUUCGGAAUUAUUUGUCUCGAAAAUGAAUGUAUCUAAAACUAAAAUACAUCUAGAUACAUCCAUUUAUGUGACAAGUAGUUUCAAACGGAGGGAGUAGCAG